UCAGUUCAGAUUGCAGGCUGCAACCCGCCUGCAUGAAGUCGGAAUUGCUAGUAAUCGCGGAUCAGCAUGCCGCGGUGAAUACGUUCCCGGGCCUUGUACACACCGCCCGUCACACCAUGGGAGCCGGUAAUACCCGAAGUCAGUAGUCCAACCUCGUGAGGACGCUGCCGAAGGUAGGAUUGGCGACUGGGGUGAAGUCGUAACAAGGUACC
This 212-nucleotide ribosomal RNA is filed under the name uncultured bacterium. RNAcentral's name for it is "partial 16S ribosomal RNA". It matches the Rfam family "Bacterial small subunit ribosomal RNA", at positions 1288 to 1500 of the family's 1533-position model. The record is from RNAcentral.